Molecule: long non-coding RNA, 467 nt
Organism: Tripterygium wilfordii
Lineage: Eukaryota; Viridiplantae; Streptophyta; Magnoliopsida; Celastrales; Celastraceae
Exons: 3
Source: RefSeq, a predicted model, not a curated record
GAAGAAGCCGUGAACAGGGAGAAUAGACUGUCGAUUUUGUACACCCGUUUUGCCAAGGUAUCUAAAUGGUGGAUUGUACACUUUAGGUGGUUAUUAGCUAUCAAGUGAGCUAUACGGGUACUCGAGGAAGCAAGGAAUGAUUGUCUGACAGAAUACUGCUUGCUAACGACAGUAUUUGUUAGCUUUGGUGCACCAAGUGUGACACGGCACUUCGUGUGCUGCCUAUUACCGCACUACGUGUGCUGUCUGUUACGACACUUUGUGUGCUGCCUUGUUGAUUCUCUAUGGUGUCCUCCUGCCUGACCACAUGAGAUCCUUUUGCUCUCUUUUGUCGUAUGAUUUGGUUAACUUUGUGAUUCAUAUAUCAUUCUUGAUUCACUCUUAAAGCCUAUUACAUUCCUCUGUUGUAUCAUUUAAGUUGUUAUUCAUUCACUGAUUCUUAUGACUCACGCAGUAUAUGUUGACAU